GGNUGGGAUGACGUCAAAUCAUCAUGCCCCUUAUGACCUGGGCUACACACGUGCUACAAUGGAUGGUACAAAGGGUUGCUAGACCGCGGGGUUACGCCAAUCCCAUAAAACCAUUCUCAGUUCGGAUUGUAGGCUGCAACUNGCCUACAUGAAGCCGGAAUCGCUGGUAAUCGCGGAUCANCAUGCCGCGGUGAAUACGUUCCCGGGCCUGGUACACACCGCCCGUCACACCCCGAGAGUUUGUAACACCCGAAGUCGGUGAGGUAACCUUUUGGAGCAGCCGCCGAAGGUG
Molecule: ribosomal RNA, 292 nt
Filed under: Heyndrickxia sporothermodurans
Lineage: Bacteria; Bacillati; Bacillota; Bacilli; Caryophanales; Bacillaceae
Description: Bacillus sporothermodurans partial 16S ribosomal RNA
Rfam family: Bacterial small subunit ribosomal RNA
Source: RNAcentral